GAUUGAACGCUGGCGGUAUGCUUAACACAUGCAAGUCGAACGGAAACGAUACUAGCUUGCUAGUAGGCGUCGAGUGGCGGACGGGUGAGUAACGCGUAGGAAUCUGCCUGAUAGUGGGGGAUAGCCCGAAGAAAUUCGGAUUAAUACCGCAUAAUCUAUUCGUAGUAAAGUGGGGGACUUUCGAGCCUCACGCUAUCAGAUGAGCCUGCGUAAGAUUAGCUUGUUGGUAGGGUAAAAGCCUACCAAGGCGACGAUCUUUAGCUGGUCUGAGAGGAUGAUCAGCCACAUCGGGACUGAGACACGGCCCGAACUCCUACGGGAGGCAGCAGUGGGGAAUAUUGGACAAUGGGGGCAACCCUGAUCCAGCAAUACCGCGUGUGUGAAGAAGGCCUGAGGGUUGUAAAGCACUUUCAAUUGUGAAGAAAAGUUAGCGGUUAAUAACCGUUAGCCUUGACGUUAACUUUAGAAGAAGCACCGGCUAACUCCGUGCCAGCAGCCGCGGUAAUACGGAGGGUGCAAGCGUUAAUCGGAAUUACUGGGCGUAAAGCGUGCGUAGGCGGUUUAUUAAGUCAGAUGUGAAAGCCCCGGGCUUAACCUGGGAACUGCAUUUGAAACUGGUCAACUAGAGUAUGGUAGAGGAAAGUGGAAUUUCUGGUGUAGCGGUGAAAUGCGUAGAUAUCAGAAGGAACAUCAAUGGCGAAGGCAGCUUUCUGGACCAAUACUGACGCUGAGGUACGAAAGCGUGGGUAGCAAACAGGAUUAGAUACCCUGGUAGUCCACGCCGUAAACGAUGAUAACUAGCCGUUGGGGGGAUUUACCCUUUAGUGGCGAAGCUAACGCGUUAAGUUAUCCGCCUGGGGAGUACGGCCGCAAGGUUAAAACUCAAAGGAAUUGACGGGGACCCGCACAAGCGGUGGAGCAUGUGGUUUAAUUCGAUGCAACGCGAAGAACCUUACCUGGUCUUGACAUCCUGCGAACUUUCUAGAAAUAGAUUGGUGCCUUCGGGAACGCAGUGACAGGUGCUGCAUGGCUGUCGUCAGCUCGUGUCGUGAGAUGUUGGGUUAAGUCCCGUAACGAGCGCAACCCCUAUCCUUAUUUGCCAGCACAUCAUGGUGGGAACUAUAAGGAGACUGCCGGUGAUAAACCGGAGGAAGGCGGGGACGACGUCAAGUCAUCAUGGCCCUUACGACCAGGGCUACACACGUGCUACAAUGGGAAGGACAAAGAGCCGCGAAGCCGCGAGGUGUAGCUAAUCUCAUAAACCUUUUCGUAGUCCGGAUUGGAGUCUGCAACUCGACUCCAUGAAGUCGGAAUCGCUAGUAAUCGUAGAUCAGAAUGCUACGGUGAAUACGUUCCCGGGUCUUGUACACACUGCC
This 1376-nucleotide ribosomal RNA is filed under the name uncultured bacterium. RNAcentral's name for it is "bacterial SSU rRNA". It matches the Rfam family "Bacterial small subunit ribosomal RNA", at positions 27 to 1394 of the family's 1533-position model. The record is from RNAcentral.